GAUGAACGCUGGCGGCGUGCCUAAUACAUGCAAGUCGAGCGAACGGACGAGAAGCUUGCUUCUCUGAUGUUAGCGGCGGACGGGUGAGUAACGCGUGUAUAACCUACCUAUAAGACUGGGAUAACUUCGGGAAACCGGAGCUAAUACCGGAUAAUCUUUUGAACCGCAUGGUUCAAAAGUGAAAGACGGUCUUGCUGUCUCUUAUAGAUGGAUCCGCGCUGCAUUAGCUAGUUGGUAAGGUAACGGCUUACCAAGGCAACGAUGCAUAGCCGACCUGAGAGGGUGAUCGGCCACACUGGAACUGAGACACGGUCCAGACUCCUACGGGAGGCAGCAGUAGGGAAUCUUCCGCAAUGGGCGAAAGCCUGACGGAGCAACGCCGCGUGAGUGAUGAAGGUCUUCGGAUCGUAAAACUCUGUUAUUAGGGAAGAACAUAUGUGUAAGUAACUGUGCACAUCUUGACGGUACCUAAUCAGAAAGCCACGGCUAACUACGUG
Molecule: ribosomal RNA, 497 nt
Filed under: uncultured bacterium
Lineage: Bacteria
Description: partial 16S ribosomal RNA
Rfam family: Bacterial small subunit ribosomal RNA
Source: RNAcentral